UACGAAGGUCCCGAGCGUUGUUCGGAAUCACUGGGCGUAAAGGGAGCGUAGGCGGCGUGGUAAGUCAGAUGUGAAAUCCCGGGGCUCAACCCCGGAACUGCAUCCGAUACUGCCAUGCUAGAGGAUUGGAGAGGUAGCUGGAAUUCUUGGUGUAGCGGUGAAAUGCGCAGAUAUCAGGAGGAACACCGGUGGCGAAGGCGGGUCUCUGGGCCGAUACUGACGCUGAGGAGCGAAAGCGUGGGGAGCGAACAGG
RNAcentral lists this ribosomal RNA (253 nucleotides) under uncultured bacterium. RNAcentral's name for it is "partial 16S ribosomal RNA". It matches the Rfam family "Bacterial small subunit ribosomal RNA", at positions 524 to 776 of the family's 1533-position model. The record is from RNAcentral.